UGGUUAAAAUUUCAUCCAUUUAUACGGUUAAAAACUGGCACUGUUGACAGAAUAACUAAUAGUGACAUGUGAUAUACCACGUGCGCCUUAUGCUGACGUACAAGGACAAAUUUUUAACAGCAUAAAUGGGUAAAAUUUUUAACA
This is a non-coding RNA of Gossypium raimondii (Peruvian cotton), 144 nucleotides long. NCBI's taxonomy places the organism in Eukaryota, Viridiplantae, Streptophyta, Magnoliopsida, Malvales, Malvaceae. The record is from Rfam.